This 847-nucleotide ribosomal RNA is filed under the name uncultured organism. RNAcentral describes it as "SSU rRNA". It matches the Rfam family "Bacterial small subunit ribosomal RNA", at positions 43 to 882 of the family's 1533-position model. The record is from RNAcentral.
CAGGCUUAACACAUGCAAGUCGAGGGGCAGCAUGGUCUUAGCUUGCUAAGGCCGAUGGCGACCGGCGCACGGGUGAGUAACACGUAUCCAACCUGCCGUCUACUCUUGGACAGCCUUCUGAAAGGAAGAUUAAUACAAGAUGGCAUCAUGAGUCCGCAUGUUCACAUGAUUAAAGGUAUUCCGGUAGACGAUGGGGAUGCGUUCCAUUAGAUAGUAGGCGGGGUAACGGCCCACCUAGUCUUCGAUGGAUAGGGGUUCUGAGAGGAAGGUCCCCCACAUUGGAACUGAGACACGGUCCAAACUCCUACGGGAGGCAGCAGUGAGGAAUAUUGGUCAAUGGGCGAGAGCCUGAACCAGCCAAGUAGCGUGAAGGAUGACUGCCCUAUGGGUUGUAAACUUCUUUUAUAAAGGAAUAAAGUCGGGUAUGGAUACCCGUUUGCAUGUACUUUAUGAAUAAGGAUCGGCUAACUCCGUGCCAGCAGCCGCGGUAAUACGGAGGAUCCGAGCGUUAUCCGGAUUUAUUGGGUUUAAAGGGAGCGUAGAUGGAUGUUUAAGUCAGUUGUGAAAGUUUGCGGCUCAACCGUAAAAUUGCAGUUGAUACUGGAUAUCUUGAGUGCAGUUGAGGCAGGCGGAAUUCGUGGUGUAGCGGUGAAAUGCUUAGAUAUCACGAAGAACUCCGAUUGCGAAGGCAGCCUGCUAAGCUGCAACUGACAUUGAGGCUCGAAAGUGUGGGUAUCAAACAGGAUUAGAUACCCUGGUAGUCCACACGGUAAACGAUGAAUACUCGCUGUUUGCGAUAUACAGCAAGCGGCCAAGCGAAAGCGUUAAGUAUUCCACCUGGGGAGUA